UACGGGGGGGGCAAGCGUUGUUCGGAAUUACUGGGCGUAAAGGGCUCGUAGGUGGCCAACUAAGUCAGACGUGAAAUCCCUCGGCUUAACCGGGGAACUGCGUCUGAUACUGGAUGGCUUGAGUUUGGGAGAGGGACGCGGAAUUCCAGGUGUAGCGGUGAAAUGCGUAGAUAUCUGGAGGAACACCGGUGGCGAAGGCGGCGUCCUGGACCAACACUGACACUGAUGCGCGAAAGCCAGGGGAGCAAACGGG
This 253-nucleotide ribosomal RNA is filed under the name uncultured bacterium. RNAcentral's name for it is "partial 16S ribosomal RNA". It matches the Rfam family "Bacterial small subunit ribosomal RNA", at positions 524 to 776 of the family's 1533-position model. The record is from RNAcentral.